Molecule: long non-coding RNA, 589 nt
Filed under: Cyanistes caeruleus (blue tit)
Lineage: Eukaryota; Metazoa; Chordata; Aves; Passeriformes; Paridae
Description: lncRNA (ENSCCEG00000019229.1)
Source: RNAcentral
GGAGAACGGGCUCUGAGGGGCGACCGAGCCGAGGGAAUUGGGCACGGGUGCUAUUUAAAGCGGCGGAGCCGGACAGGCCGGUGGGUCUGGCUGCGGGCACCGCUGUCCGGGCUGCGUGGAGCCGGAGACAGAAAAGGGACUGGCUUUGUCCGGCAGCCCUGCCACGGCCGGUACAUCUGGAAGCCCGAUAAGUUGGUUUGGAAGCGGCGGUUCCCGAGGAGCCAGCGGAGGCAGGGCUUCGUGCAUGGCCGGGCAGCCGCUCCUGCAGCCCCGCCGGCGGCUGCGCGGCGCCGAGGCAACGAGCGGGGAGAGCACAGCCCUGCCCGGGGUCAGCGGGGCUGCUCGCCCAGCUCUGCCAGCGGCACUGCUGCCCCCGGCAGCGAGCCCUUGCCCGCAUCCUUCCUGCGAGCUGGAGACGGAGAGCGGCGAGAGCUGGAGAGCCCCGGCUGGAGCCGAGCGGAGAGCUGCAACAGGAGAGAGUGGCGCAACAGGAUGGAAGAAGUGCCCAGAGGCAGCUGCCAAGUCUGUGAGCUCAGAACCCCACUGGUACUGCUCUGGGAAUGCCUCUGCUAUCCACGGAGAGCUUUGA